This 253-nucleotide ribosomal RNA is filed under the name uncultured bacterium. RNAcentral's name for it is "partial 16S ribosomal RNA". It matches the Rfam family "Bacterial small subunit ribosomal RNA", at positions 524 to 776 of the family's 1533-position model. The record is from RNAcentral.
UACGAAGGGGGCUAGCGUUGCUCGGAAUUACUGGGCGUAAAGCGCACGUAGGCGGAUUGUUAAGUCGGGGGUGAAAUCCUGGAGCUCAACUCCAGAACUGCCUUCGAUACUGGCGGUCUCGAGUUCGGGAGAGGUGAGUGGAACUGCGAGUGUAGAGGUGAAAUUCGUAGAUAUUCGCAAGAACACCAGUGGCGAAGGCGGCUCACUGGCCCGAUACUGACGCUGAGGUGCGAAAGCGUGGGGAGCAAACAGG